GGCUACCUGGCGCAAUGGUAGCGCGUUUGGCUUCGAUUGCUUAGCGUACCAAAAGGCUGCAGGUUCGAGUCCUGCGGUGGUCG
Molecule: non-coding RNA, 83 nt
Organism: Pleurotus ostreatoroseus
Lineage: Eukaryota; Fungi; Basidiomycota; Agaricomycetes; Agaricales; Pleurotaceae
Source: the annotation of a GenBank genome assembly